GGGCCAGUGAUGAGAACUUUAACCUGACUGGAUACGCACCUGCUCUGAUGGGUUAAAGGAUUUACCUGAGGCCA
Jaculus jaculus (lesser Egyptian jerboa) is the source of this 74-nucleotide small nucleolar RNA. Lineage: Eukaryota; Metazoa; Chordata; Mammalia; Rodentia; Dipodidae. The record is from Ensembl.